GUGCUCACUUAGGCAGCACAUAUAUUAAAAUUGGAACGAUACAGAGAAGAUUAGCAUGGCCCCUGUGCAACGAUGACAUGCAAAUUCGUGAAGCAUUCCAUAUUUUA
Molecule: small nuclear RNA, 107 nt
Organism: Oryctolagus cuniculus (rabbit)
Lineage: Eukaryota; Metazoa; Chordata; Mammalia; Lagomorpha; Leporidae
Source: Ensembl